AGUGAACGCUGGCGGUAGGCCUAACACAUGCAAGUCGAACGGCAGCACAGUAAGAGCUUGCUCUUACGGGUGGCGAGUGGCGGACGGGUGAGGAAUACAUCGGAAUCUACUUUUUCGUGGGGGAUAACGUAGGGAAACUUACGCUAAUACCGCAUACGACCUACGGGUGAAAGCAGGGGAUCUUCGGACCUUGCGCGAUUGAAUGAGCCGAUGUCGGAUUAGCUAGUUGGCGGGGUAAAGGCCCACCAAGGCGACGAUCCGUAGCUGGUCUGAGAGGAUGAUCGGCCACACUGGAACUGAGACACGGUCCAUACUCCUACGGGAGGCAGCAGUGGGGAAUAUUGGACAAUGGGCGCAAGCCUGAUCCAGCCAUACCGCGUGGGUGAAGAAGGCCUUCGGGUUGUAAAGCCCUUUUGUUGGGAAAGAAAAGCAGCAGGUUAAUACCCCGCUGUUCUGACGGUACCCAAAGAAUAAGCACCGGCUAACUUCGUG
RNAcentral lists this ribosomal RNA (492 nucleotides) under uncultured bacterium. Its description in RNAcentral is "partial 16S ribosomal RNA". It matches the Rfam family "Bacterial small subunit ribosomal RNA", at positions 29 to 507 of the family's 1533-position model. The record is from RNAcentral.